Molecule: long non-coding RNA, 2241 nt
Filed under: Equus caballus (horse)
Lineage: Eukaryota; Metazoa; Chordata; Mammalia; Perissodactyla; Equidae
Description: lncRNA (ENSECAG00000045047.1)
Source: RNAcentral
GGACCACAGCAUGCUAAAAAGUCAAGAACAAAGUGGACAGCCCAAUCCGGCACUUUCUACACGACCAACACUGAUAGAAAACCAGGGCUGUGUCAUUCGGCUAGAGCCGAACCAGAGGUGUGUCUCUCUAUUUGGAUAGUUCUUCCUUCUGAAAUCCAAAAGUUGGGAUGUGGUAAACUUCUCAGAUCCUGCUUCUCAAUAUGGUAUUUUACAUGUGUUCUCUAAAAAUACUUUUUCACCUUCUCAGCUUAUAUCAGAGCAAUUUAGCACCAUUUGAUUAGAACGCCCAGCCCUUCUUUGUAGCCAGCCUGGACUGUCCUCCCCGUCUGGAGUCAUUUUGGCUGCAAAGUGAGGUCUCAGCGGGGUCAGCUGGGUGUCCAGACGUCAGGUAUCAGGCGUGUGGUGAGCGCCUCCAAGGCCACUUUCCUCUCAGCAAUGCCCACUAGGUGACGCCUGUGAAUGGAGUAGCUUUCCAGAGAGCAGGCUUCCUCUCUUCCUUCCUUCCCAGGCCCACAUCUUGCCUCGAAGAUGCUUAAGUGGCAGGAUCCUGAAGAAAUUAUUCUCUGCCUGUUGCUUAGAGAGAGGGCACGUGAGGAUCUCAGGCAGCCAGAAUACUCUUGCGACCAGAAUACUGACAUUUCUGCUUAGUGUGUGCGAUGGUCUAAUUAUAAAAGUGGGAAAAAGCCAAAAACUGUAUAACCUGAAGAGUUUUAGAUUUCUGGGUAGGUUCAUAACUGCUUUCCAAAUGCAAACAAAAUUGCCUGAACUAAGGUGGCUUCUGAUCGUCCUGGGGUGGUAAUCUGAAUACGUGAGCAUUCUGGAAGGAGAUUGGAGACAGGUGUGACUGGAGGCAGGUGUGAUUCUUUUGAGUAUAACAGCGGUUCCCAGACUGGAGUGUGCGUCAGAAUCAACUGCAGGUAUUAUGAAACCACAGAUUUCUGGGUCCCACUCCCAGAGUUCCUGAUUUGGAAAGUCUUGGAUGAGGUCUGAGAAUCUGCAUUUCUUACAAGUUCCCAGGUGAUGCUAAUGCGGCUGGUCUGGGGACCUCACCUAGAGAACCUCUGCAGGACAGCGUUCUGUUAACAAUAAGUUUCCAAUGCGCCACCACCCACCGGAAAAAGAGCACACAGUGACUGACAAGGCAGAGAAGGAUGAGCAAGCAAAAGGAUAAAAUUUUAACACAGAAACAAGGAGAAAGAGAAUGUUUCAGGAAAGGAGAAGAGGAGGAUAUCAACAGUGACAAGUGUUGCUGAGAAGUCAAAGGAGAAGACUGUAAAACAUCACGUUGGCUUAGCAAAAUAGAGGUCAAUGAUGGCUUUCGCCUUAUAUUUUUUGAUGGAUCAUUGAGGUCAAAGACUAGAGUGGGCUGAGCUGUGAAUAUGAGGUGAAGAAAUGGAGACCAUAAAUACAAAAUCUUUCAAAAGAUCAGUGCUUUCUAAUAGGACAUUAUUGAGAGAUUUGAGCUUUAAAAAAUUCAGUGGGGAGAGUUCUAGUUCUGGUAAUGACAUACAAUCUGCUUUAGACCUACUUUACCACUUAGGACAACUAGAAAAGCUGGGCACUGUAAAUCUAUAAGAAGGGCACUGAAAUAUCCCAGGGCCAGGUUCUUGGAAAGAAGGCUUGGAGUGAUGAGUCCAGCAUUUGGGACUGAUUUUACGUUGGAGGCAUUUGCUUAUUUCAUUUGCUGAUGAAGAGCUGAACACAGCUUCAACAAACUCAUGGAUUUGCAAAGUUGUAAGAUUGGGUUUUAGUGCCCUUCAAAGAAAAGGUGCCCCAGUGAACCACAAUCUUUAGAUUAAAACCACAAGAGCUUAUCAUUACUAUACGAGUAAGGGUGACCCAGAAACAGACCAGUCCUCAGACCCCAGAAAUAGAAACUGAAGUUUAGAUUUGAAUAAUCUCAAUCCCUGAUUGGCCUAUGGUGCUUUGGGAUUGUUAAUACUCCAAUCUCCUUGUCUGCAGAAGGAAGUUAAAUCCUCUCUAGAAGCUAACAUAUCCAAAGGUUCAAAUCAUCUCUCUAUUUUAAAUAAUAUUCAAAAUUCAAGAAAAAAUAACCAGACAUAAAAGUAGACAACUUGACUAUAAAUCAAGGGAGAUGAUAGGCUAUAGAAAUAUUCUCCUAAAGCAUCAGACAAGGAAGUUAUCAGUCAUAGACUUGCAAAUAACCAUGCUUAAAGAAUUAAAAGAAUAUUAAUUAUGAUGAAAGAUUUAUUCACCAGGAGGAUAUAACAAUUCUAAACU